UACAGAGGGCUCAAGCGUUGUUCGGAUUCAUUGGGCGUAAAGGGUGCGUAGGUGGCGGGGUAAGUCAGGUGUGAAAUCUCGAGGCUCAACCUCGAAACUGCACUUGAUACUGCCUUGCUCGAGUACUGGAGAGGAGAUUGGAAUUUACGGUGUAGCAGUGAAAUGCGUAGAUAUCGUAAGGAAGACCAGUGGCGAAGGCGAAUCUCUGGACAGUUACUGACACUGAGGCACGAAGGCCAGGGGAGCAAACGGG
RNAcentral lists this ribosomal RNA (253 nucleotides) under uncultured bacterium. RNAcentral describes it as "partial 16S ribosomal RNA". It matches the Rfam family "Bacterial small subunit ribosomal RNA", at positions 524 to 776 of the family's 1533-position model. The record is from RNAcentral.